CACUGGUAGAGGCCUGAGGCAGCCCUUCUGAUGAGUCCAUUGGAGGACGAACCAGUG
Molecule: small RNA, 57 nt
Filed under: Helianthus annuus (common sunflower)
Lineage: Eukaryota; Viridiplantae; Streptophyta; Magnoliopsida; Asterales; Asteraceae
Source: RNAcentral